This 302-nucleotide ribosomal RNA is filed under the name uncultured bacterium. RNAcentral describes it as "partial 16S ribosomal RNA". It matches the Rfam family "Bacterial small subunit ribosomal RNA", at positions 508 to 807 of the family's 1533-position model. The record is from RNAcentral.
GCAGUAGCCGCGGGAAUACGUAGGGUGCGAGCGUUAAUCGGAAUUACUGGGCGUAAAGCGUGCGCAGGCGGUUCGUUAAGACAGAUGUGAAAUCCCCGGGCUUAACCUGGGAACUGCAUUUGUGACUGGCGAGCUAGAGUAUGGCAGAGGGGGGUAGAAUUCCACGUGUAGCAGUGAAAUGCGUAGAGAUGUGGAGGAAUACCGAUGGCGAAGGCAGCCCCCUGGGCCAAUACUGACGCUCAUGCACGAAAGCGUGGGGAGCAAACAGGAUUAGAUACCCCUGUAGUCCCUGUCUCUUAUAC